UGGGGAAUAUUGCACAAUGGGCGCAAGCCUGAUGCAGCCAUGCCGCGUGUGUGAAGAAGGCCUUCGGGUUGUAAAGCACUUUCAGCGGGGAGGAAGGCGGUGAGGUUAAUAACCUCAUCGAUUGACGUUACCCGCAGAAGAAGCACCGGCUAACUCCGUGCCAGCAGCCGCGGUAAUACGGAGGGUGCAAGCGUUAAUCGGAAUUACUGGGCGUAAAGCGCACGCAGGCGGUCUGUCAAGUCGGAUGUGAAAUCCCCGGGCUCAACCUGGGAACUGCAUUCGAAACUGGCAGGCUAGAGUCUUGUAGAGGAGGGUAGAAUUCCAAGUGUAGCGGUGAAAUGCGUAGAGAUCUGGAGGAAUACCGGUGGCGAAGGCGGCCCCCUGGACAAAGACUGACGCUCAGGUGCGAAAGCGUGGGGAGCAAACAGG
RNAcentral lists this ribosomal RNA (429 nucleotides) under Chloroflexota bacterium. Its description in RNAcentral is "Chloroflexi bacterium partial 16S ribosomal RNA". It matches the Rfam family "Bacterial small subunit ribosomal RNA", at positions 355 to 776 of the family's 1533-position model. The record is from RNAcentral. Lineage: Bacteria; Bacillati; Chloroflexota.